Molecule: long non-coding RNA, 648 nt
Filed under: Homo sapiens (human)
Lineage: Eukaryota; Metazoa; Chordata; Mammalia; Primates; Hominidae
Description: HSALNT0401053
Source: RNAcentral
GUUCCUGCGUUAGUUUGCUAAGGAUAAUGGCCAUUAUCUUAGCCAUUUGAAAAUAAUGAUUUAACCUCUCUCACCUUCAUUGUCAUUUUAGAAGAAACUACCAUUUGGUGUCCUGCUGAGACAAGAAAAUAUUUUCACAACUCAAGACAAGUUAAAUAUCCACUUAUGGGAACAGUGCUGAAGGCCUGGACUAGGAUGGUAGCAAUGGAGACAGACUAAAGGUCAGCAUAACAGUCAACAUUAAGGGGGUUGAAUCAACAGCACAUAGUACCUGAUUGGAAAUACAGAGUAAAUUACAGUGAGAAAAAGAGAUGCAAUCAUUCCCUUGCAUAUGGUCCGUAUGAAGACGGGAUCAUUACAGGAAAGGUGAAGGAGAUACAGUCAUUAUGCUCUAUAUACACCCAUUUUUAUGGCUAGCGGCUGAAGAUGGGAUGCUUUCUUUGCUGGAAGACCUAUUACCUGUUAGGUUGCAAAAGAUGUGAUCAUCUUCCUAAACAAUAAUUUAGAGUCCCAUAACAAUUUUAAGUGUGCUGUUCAUGAAAAUUUGAAUACAUUGUAUUGGGAAUAUAAUGGAAGUGAGAUGCCUCAUGUCGUGAGAAAAUCUGACAUAAACUCCUUAAGCAUGAGAGGCCAUGUGGGUAUGGAAGC